This 64-nucleotide transfer RNA is filed under the name Parastratiosphecomyia szechuanensis. Its description in RNAcentral is "tRNA-Ala". It matches the Rfam family "tRNA". From Rfam's summary of the family: Transfer RNA (tRNA) molecules are approximately 80 nucleotides in length. The record is from RNAcentral. Lineage: Eukaryota; Metazoa; Arthropoda; Insecta; Diptera; Stratiomyidae.
AGGGUUGUAGUUAAAUAUAACAUUUGAUUUGCACUCAAAAAGUACUAGUCAUUAGUCUUCCUUG